Molecule: ribosomal RNA, 471 nt
Filed under: uncultured bacterium
Lineage: Bacteria
Description: bacterial SSU rRNA
Rfam family: Bacterial small subunit ribosomal RNA
Source: RNAcentral
GACGAACGCUGGCGGCGUGCCUAACACAUGCAAGUCGAGCGGGGUUGAAGCGAGGGGUAACUCGAACUUCUACCUAGCGGCGGACGGGUGAGUAACGCGUGGGCAACCUGCCUCAAGGUCUGGGAUAACAGCUCGAAAGGGCUGCUAAUACCGGAUAUGCCUAUAGCCUCGCAUGGGGCUAUGAGCAAAGGGGAAACCCGCCUUGAGAUGGGCCCGCGUCCCAUCAGCUAGUUGGUGAGGUGAAGGCUCACCAAGGCGACGACGGGUAGCCGGCCUGAGAGGGUGACCGGCCACACUGGGACUGAGACACGGCCCAGACUCCUACGGGGGGCAGCAGUGGGGAAUCUUGCACAAUGGGCGAAAGCCUGAUGCAGCGACGCCGCGUGAGCGAAGAAGGCCUUGGUGUAAAGCUCUGUCUGAGGGACGAAGAAAGUGACGGUACCUCCGGAGGAAGCCACGGCUAACUACGUG